UAUAAUUCUACAGCUUCUCUAGUGUUGAUGAUGCACAACAAACUUGGCCAGACAAUUUUAAUUGAUGAGGGAAUCGAUGAAAACAGAGGCCGAAUCACAGCAUCAGAAAUGAAUAUUGCAGUAGAUGAGAAAUUUCUGCAAAUGACAUCCAGAUCUUCCAGAGAAGGCCAAAUUUAAGAAACUUUUACUUCUGAGUAAAAGGUGCAUGUUAGCCUUCUACUUCUGAGUAAGAAACCCUUUUUUUUUUUCAGAAAAGGUAAAUGUUGGCAUAAAAAUGUGACAGGAUUGCUUCAUGUACAUGAUCUUUAUUUCAGUUUCAUUUGACAAUCAUAUAAUCCACUACUACAUUCUUUUACAGGCGGAAACACAAAAAAGGUAUACCAAACAUUAGUUACUUAUCCAGCAAUUCGUCAACUCCAGCCGAAAAGGUUUAAGUAAAAAGUGGUUCAUAAUCAUUGGAUUUCAUUUACUUACACGUUUGGUGGUUGGUGGCUGAGUAGGAUGCUUCUAUUAGUGCGCUACUGCUAAUAAACUAAUGGCCAUCUAAUCUAAGAUGAAAGGGCGCUUAUCCAAAGAAAACAGUUCAUAAAAAGAUCCAAAGUGGGGCUGGGUAACAUCGAUGAAAAAGUUAAUGAAGUGAGAAGUUAACCUACCGGCAACAUUGAUGUUUUCCACAAUGUAAAGGACAUUGUCCUCGUUAAUCUCUCCCUUCUGCUGUGCUUCAAGAAUAUGAUCAAUGGCACAUUUUAGGCUGUUGCUAUCCAUGCUUGUUGUGCUUGCAAGCUUCCUGCAACCCAAAAAUACAAAGUAAGAAGCCAAGCUAUUAAGACUGUGACUAUUCAUUUGAUUCCAGUUUGUGCUGCAAAACAAGCAAGGCUGAAAGAAAAAAAAAUGGAAAACUAAUAAUCAUACUUCAUUUCUGUUUGUUGAAAAAAAUAUAAUACAAAUCAUUUCCAAGUCCUAGGAAAACAUUCCCACAAGCUAUCCAUACCUCAUAUUACAGCAAGAAGUACCAAUUUUGUUUUUUCUAGUUAAAUAAACAAGCAACGCUUAUCUUUUCUUUGUUUGUGAGAGGUUGUCACGGUCAAACGCAUAAACGAAAUAUCGCUAGAAAGUUUGAACACGAAUCAGCCGACCCGACGUCAAAAGGACAACAAAUGCAUAAGACAAAAAGAUUCACUGAGCCAAAAAAAAAAAAAAAAAAAUUCUUGGAUCAAACUAGACAUCCCAACUCCUAAGGGCUAAGAUGCAUUUACAGGUCAGAAUCCAGAAACUCCUAAACUUUUCUUUAUUAGCACAUCUCCAGAAAAGGGUUUUCCCUAAAUACUCCAUCAAUCAUAAUACAUACUCUAUCCAAAUAAUACUCUACAGUAAUUAUUCCAAAUAAUAAAUAUAUCCUUAGUUAAUCUAGGAGACUUUUAAAAAAAAAAAAGUGCUACUUAUGUUAAUCGAACUACAUUAGAUCAAUGGAGUUUCAGAUAAGUAAUGUAUGAAGAGAAAAGUUCAGAAACUAAAACUUACUUCCUUUCGUCAACGAAGUGAUCCUUGAACAGCUGCAGUCUCCUCUCCUUAACCUCCUUACAGAUCUUCAAGUAACCCCUCAAGAAAGGCCUCAAGAUGGGAAUGAAAUCACCGUAAUUAUAUUCGAAGCUCUGAGCCAGCCUACUCCUCUCUCCGUUCAAAGCCUUAAGCUUAUUAAACAGAGGAUCAUCCUCGCUCUCAAAUCGGUAAUCAAACAUGAUUCGGUACAUAUUAUUGUACAUCAUGAGCUGCAACCUCCUCCUCAAGACAAUCCCAUUGGUGGAGGAUUCAGGGUUCUUCUUAACAUCCUCCACGACACGGGCAACCUCUGCCUCCCAACCGUGCCUAUACUGCUGAACAACUUUGUUAGUGAAAAAGGGGACAGUCAUAAUCCUUCUCAUCUUCCUCCAAUGCUCGCCGUAGACGGUGAAGACCAUAUCCUGGCCUUUGCCGGUGAAUAUAUCAAACACCACAUUUCUGGUGCGGGAGCCGAACUCCACCCCCUGGGUGUGCAAGACAUCUUUGGCAAGUUCAGGGGAUGAUACCACCACAAGAUUGCGCUGGCCCAUUCUCAGAAGAAAGAUUUCUCCAAAUUUCUUGGCGUAGUCAGUGAGGUUGCGAUGGUUCAAAUCAUCACCAAUUUGUAACCAGUUUCCGAAAAUGGGAACUGGGAUUGGGCCUGGAGGGAGCUUGAAUUUCUUGCCCCGUAAUUUAGAAACAACGAUGGCAACUAUGAUGGCUGCAAACAGUCCCAAAAGGGUCUUCUCUAGCAGGAGAAGAUCCAUGACGGUGUGGAGGGCGGUUUGUGAUGGAAUCAACUGAGAGUGGGAGGUUUGGUUUGGUUGAGUGGGUUGGGUGAUGGAGUGGAAUUGGUGCCGGAGUGACUAUAAUUUAUAGCAGGGUUGGGGGGCAGUUGUCUAGUUGUCUUUUUUUUUUUUUGUGGUUUCUCUUUUUCAUUGGAGGAGGUAGGUGGCGGAUGGAGUGGUAGUAGUAAGUAGUAAGUGGGGUCGGUGAAGGUGGGUGGGCCUUUGACGGCGUCAGAAUUUUUGGACGUCGAGAAGGGAAGAUAGAGGCGAGGGGCGAGAAUGGUAGGGGGAACGAUAAGGGAGUUGAAACUUGCAAAGGGAAGUAGGUGGGCGGGUUUGGUGAGCGGGAAAUUUGCCAAUAUAUAAGUUGAAAUUGAUUAACUUAUUUUGUCAUCAUGGUUUGUGCGAGGUGUGGGGACUGGGAACGAUGAUGUCAAAUUAUUAGGUGCUGCAAUCAAAAGUUGCCGUACCUUUGAUUCUAAUCCUCGUGGGUCAUCAGCAGGCACGACACUUUUUGCUUAGAUUGUAAAUUUUUAACCAAAAAAAAUGUUUACAUUUUUCAUAGAUACAUUUUCAUCAAACAUAUAUUAAAUUAUUACAUCACAUGUUUUUUUAUAAAAUUUUCAAAAAAGACAACCCAAACACAAGAUCUAAAACUUUAGAACGGAGAAUUUAUUUGGAUUAGUAUUACUUCUCGUAUAUUAUAUUAUACAAGUCGAAUGAACUCUACUCAUUUUAGUGCUCAAUGACAAGUGUUUCAAUUUUUUAAGCUAAAAAUGCUGGAACGUGGCAGAAUCAACGACAAGUGUUACAAUUAGUUUGCCAAAUUAAUUACGCAAGUGUUACGCCUCAAAUGUUCGUGCCAUAAAUGCGGAAACGCGCCAAAAUCAGACGGAAUUGACGAGGGCUUACGAGCCUUUAGCAAGGAAGCAAAAAAGGAACAUUGCCGCCGAUAUAAGUCGAGAAAAGGACCGACCGCUCCCUUGUCAAGUAAAGGCCAAAGGGUUGUGCAUUCUAAUCUUGAUGCCGGUACGAGCAUUUUAUUGAUAAAUGAACUCUUAUAAGUGACUUUAAUUUCAAAGGGAAUGAUUUGACUCAUAAUGAUAAUAGGAGUCAGACACGCUUGAAUUUUUUUCCUACCAAAUAAUGCACUAUCUAAUUGUCUACGAAAAGCCUUUUCAACAACAAAUAAAUGAAGCAAGUAAUGCACUUUUUUUUUUUUUUGCAACUUCACCAUUUUGUAUGAAUGACAAGGAAGCACUUAAAAUCAAAUUUUGAGUUAUUGUAUCUACGUACACAUCAUUGUGGGAAAAUUUAUUCAUAAUCACAUGUAACACAUCCUAAAUAAGUACUGCCCUACUAUUUGUAUAAGGUUUCUGUUGAACCAAAACAGGUUAAUCCUACGUUUGUAUCACUUUUGACAUCCACUCAUCAGGAAUCGAAUAUCCGUAACAUUUAAUUCACAAUCUACCGGUUGAUUUCCUGCUAUUUAACCGCAGGCAUGUGUCAGACAUAUCUUGAUAGCAUAAAAAGGACGUGUCAGACAUAUCUUCACGUGGAAAUAAAUUUUGUUGUUUAAAUGUUACGUAGAUACAAGUGCAUCACAGUGAUUUACGCUCUUUAGAGUGUAAUACACAUGUCACAUCAGCAUUCUACUUUCUCCUCUUUUAUUAUACUUUCACUCGCAAUGGAUUAUACUCCAUAAUGUGUAAUAGCAUGGGUCCACAAUUAAAUCACAUGUUUAUUUUAAUAAUGCAUAACUCAUAUCCCAUAAAUUAAUAAAGUAAUUUUUAAAAAUAAUUUUGUUAUUUUUUAAAAAUAAAGUAUUAACUUUCAUUAGAUUUUUUAUCUUUUGAAUUUUUUUAUUUUCUAAAAAUAAUAUUAUUAAUUUUUAAGUUUGAACAAUAUAUCUUUUGCUAUCUCUCAAAAAUAAUAUAUUGUUAUUUUUUUAAAAUAAUUAUGCAAACAAAUUAUGAUACUUGUUGCAAUCUAAUUAUUAUAGAAUUUUUUAUUUUCUAAAAAUAAUUAUGCAAAUUUAGUGUACCGUUGAAAAAAAUUAACGUUGAAAUCAUCAACAUUUGCUGGGCAAAAUUUGAAGGAGUCCGACAUUUUUUAAUGGGUGGCCCACCCAUUACACGUGUCAUCAGGAUGAUGCAUAUAAUGGGUAUUACACGGCCACAAUAGGUGGCCGUGUAACCAACCCAUCAUUACACCUCUCGUGCAACUCCGUUGGAGUUGCUCUGAGUGUACGACCGUCUAACAAGUUUAUCGUACACUCUUCGUAAUUUGAUAUAAACUCACAUAAGUUUGGUGUAUAUGAAGUACGAUCAUGUAACUUUUGUUGUACGUCAUAAAAUAUAAUAAAAUAAUUUAUGUGUAUACAUCAAAUUAUAGAGCAAAAUACAAUAAUCAUAUAAAUUGUACCUAAAACCAAUUGUAUCUGCUCCAAACCUAUACAUACAUACGCACGCGGGCUGCAAUCUCCUUAUAAUCUCAGACCAAAAUUUUUUUUUUAAAAAAAAGCCACUAAGGACGUGUAAUUACGGUGUAAACAUGUUUAAAAAAUAGUAAAUUGUCACCACAGAAAGACCAAUUCUAAUGUUUUGAGUCUUGAAAUUCCAGAAGCACAAAUGCCAUGAAUCUCCACGUAAGACGGCAGCAUUUGUCUAGAUCCAAAAGUUAACUGGCAAGAAUAUGCCGGCCAUAGUCAAAAGCUUUUUCCCGCAUCCAUACAAUGGAAGAUUCAAGGGUACUGAAAAUAUUUUCGUCUGCGGUUUGAAGAAAAUGGAAUACUCGUCGUAGCAAGUGAGAUAAUAUGUUUAACCUACCAAUUAAAUUUAUUUGUGUUUCUCUAAUUCUAAUUAACAAAAAGAAAAAGAAAAAGAAAAUUUGUGUUCCCGGCUUAUCCUUUAACCAGAAUUAGGUUAGAACUUAAAAAAGUACAACUUGAUAAGUUGAAAUCCUAAUAAAUAUAAUACGUAUUGAAACAGAAUUUAAAAGCUAAUCAAACGUCUCUCCACUUGCAUAUGAUAUAAGUGGAUACCGGCCUCCACCACAGCAGAGUUGAAAGCUACAUACUCUCCUACAUCACAAAACUCUCUAAUUCUGACAUAUGGCAUCAACUGUUAUUUUCGUAAUUGCCUACGUUUGUUUCAACCAAACACCAUUUCCCAUCCGUCGCGGGAAAAGAGGCAGCAUUCUUCUUCGCGUUAAAUUACAAAAUUGUAAAAUUUUUAUUUAGCUUGCUUUCGCGUGCAGGGUUUCAAUGCCGUGCAAGCGUAGAGCAGGACAGGACUCGUGUUUUCAGCAGCUAGAAAAUAAUUUCAGAAGGUGACAUGAAUAAUUAUGCAUGUGUGGAAGCAUCCGAAUGAUGAAAAGUUGAAGGGGGCCCUGCGGCUAUGCUAUUUCAAAAGCGGAACUCGACCGAUCGCAAGGAACUCAAAACCAAAUUUGCUAGAGCUGUUCUUUGCUUUAAUCAGUCGUCUUUGUUAACAUAUACAACUGCAAUUGAACACUGUGAAAGAGAGACGUAAGGUCCAAGCGAAAGUGGGUUUUUUUAAAAAAAAAAAGGUGGAAGUUAUCGGAAUUGACUCGAAAAAAAAAAAUUCAUGCCUUAAAGAUUUGUAUAGCGUGUAUUAUUAAAGUUCUGUAGAUGUCAAAAGAGUUUAAAAAAUUUUAUUGGUUUAUUUUGCAGUCGUUCAUAUGUGAUCCGUUCAGUACAUCACCCAGAAAAUACGUUCUACCUAAUUUCAGCGGUUUAGAGGAAAAUUUUAUAACACGAAUUGAAGUAGUCUAAUGGGUACGGUUAUAACACAACUUUUCAUGAGAGAGUUCAAAUUUACAUAUAAAAUCACUAAUGAAUAUGAACAAAAUUUAAAUCUUUUCAUUUUCAACAUAUUGUGAAACAUUUAUCUUACACUCGGAUCAAAUAUAUCUUCCAAUAUAUAUAUACAAAAUGACACAAUUGGUCGAGAAGGAGAAGAGGGACUAGAUCCCUGUCCAUGAAAAGAAAAGAAAAGAAAAGAAAAGCAAAUGCUCAUGGUAUUGAAGAAAAAGCAGAAACGUAGAAUAUGUUGCAUGGAGAAUUGACAUAAAAGAAAAGAAAACUGUCAAAUUUUAAUGCCAUAUCAAAUUUAGUGUUAAUUACCAAAAUCUCCCUUACAAUACAAUGAUUGGUCCCAUGCCCGAAGCUGAACUUGGAGGGUAAUAUAGGAAACUCAGAUGUGGUAUUGGGGUAUUAUUGAGAAGUUCUGAUGCGACAUUAAGAUAGUGAAAUCAAUUAUCCUUUUCAAUUCAAAAGAGGUUUGAACUGGCCAUUAUUUGUAUCACAAAUAUAUUCUUAAAUUUUUUUUUAUUUUUUGAACUAUAAUAAAAAAAUUUAAAAAGUACGGUAAUCUAAAAAUUAGUUUAAAUUUUUUUAAAAUUUUAAAAAAUAUCUCAAAAUAUAUUCUAAAAACUCUUAUACUUUUAAAUAUCCCAAAAUAUUUUUUAAAAAUAUUCCAAAAUAUACUCUAAAAACUCUGUUACAGUAAAGUUUUUUUCAAAAACACCAUAAAAAACGGCUAAUCCAAACGGUUAUAUCAUUUUUUAACACACUCGGUCGUCAUGACUUAACAUUUUAUUUUUCUCCUUUUGGUUUCAAAAACUGUACCUUUUUUUCCUCCAAAAAUUGUACUUAUUUCUCGGUUAAAUUGCAAACUAUCUGAUUGUCUACCCAAGUUCUUGUCAAUCUAUUUGUUCAGUUUUCGUUGAAAAUUGGUUAAGACCUUUUGAAAACUCUUUCCCAUUUAUUCAUAAAUUAAUUAACGACGGCCCUCCCGCCUGAGCAAUUAAUUAACGACAGAAGAAGGUUAAAAAAAAAAAAAAUUUGAGGCAGCAAGGGAGACGGAGAAAGUCAAACUCCCCAGCCGCCACAAGAAAUGAAUAAUAGCGACACAGUUGAAUUUGGAUUUUGGACAUAGCUACUCUUAUAUUCUAAAUAUUUUUUUGUUUCGAGAAUUGUCUUGUACUAGUGCUCUUUAUUAUAUUGCCCAUCUUUAUUUAUUUAUUAAGUGUAUCAGUAUAACUCAAUUCUGUUCAUUCAAAAUCUCGUUAUGAGUGCAAUGUCAUUCUCACAUUCAGUUUUUUUUUUUUAAUAAAAUAUCAUAAUUUCACAUGCAGCUUUUUAAACUAGUAAAUUUUCACUUUUUAAUCUUGCAAGUUUCUAUUCACAAUAAGCAAUAGUCAUUGUAGAAUUUUCACGAGCUCAUACAGAAUUCCUCCACAUUUUCCUUCCUGGAAAUAGAAAUAGAAGAAGACAAAUAACAGUAGCAGCAGCAUUAGGUCAUUAUACAGAAGCUCGCCACUUUGGAUUGCAUUUUUCGUGAUUUUUCAUGGAAAAAUUACUGUAGCGAUUUGAUGUAUGUGAAGGAAAAAGGUAAUAGGGAAAUGUGAUCACAGAAAACGACGUAAUUUUUCUACGGUAACCGGCAAUCCAAACAAGGUUUCUCCGCAUUUUUCUUUCUUCCUUCUGGUCAAAUACAUAUGGUUCACGAGUGUUGAUGCAGAACUUUGGAAAUUACAUUCAAGUGUAGAAUGCUCGAUCAUUAGCUGGCGUAACAUGUUUCACACGCCUAUUUUCGUACUAUAACUUAGUCUGGCUCCCUAUCGUAUUCAGAUCAGAACAUUUUAGAUACCUUCUUGGCUUCUUUGAUCAUCUAAUUAGUAUAUCAUAGCAGAUACAAUUUCAAAACCGGACGCUCUGGUUCCUAUACUUUCACUAUUAAUGAAAAUCACAGAUUCAGAUCGUUAAAGAAAAAUAAAAGUGUCUCUAUUGAAGCAGGUAAUAACUACAAUCACGGCAGAACUCACAGUACCGUAUUUCGCCAAAACAAGUACAAGUGUUUGCCCUGUCAAUGUUUUGCCUCCGGUAAACGACCGCAUCCACACGGUAGAUUAUUGGAGUGUUUGUUUUCCAAGUGCAACAAAUAUUUCAUUUUCAUACAAUCAGAGCAUCACCAGAUGCAUAAAGUAUGUUAAUUGUCAAUCACCUUUUUACCCUUUGUUUGGAACAUUUUUCCCCAAGAAAUUUAUACUUUUCCUUGAACACAUUUCUCAAUAAAUUUUUUACCUUACAUAUAUCAAAUCGUUAACAUUAAAUAGGAUCAUUCUACUUGAAAAUACUUUUAUGUCACAAAUGCUAGGGUAAGAGUUUUUCUAAAUGUGUCUAGUGGGGACUUAUUGAUACACCUAAAUCAGAUUUAAUCUACCAUAUGAAUGCACAUACUAACAAUUAUUAUCCUCCAUUACAAUUAUAUGCUUUCCCAUUGAGCUUCACUUUUUCAAGGUAUUUAUUCGAAAAUUUUAUCUUAGUUAGAAUUCGAUGAACACUCGUUAAACAAACUCAUAAAGUAAUUGCAUUGUUUAUUUUUCCCGUUGUACUUAUAAAAAGAACAAAAAUAGUUGUUCAAUCCAAUCUUGUUAAUAUGGCAUUCUUUUGUGAUCCAAUGGAAAAAAAAAAAAACUAGUAGUUAUCCUUCUUUCAAGUAGUAGUAUGUCAAGUUAUUACGUUACGUGAUAAUGAAACGUAGUCUAGUUGUUAAGAUAUUUCACCUGUAAUUGAUAGGUUAGGUUAUAGAUUCGAGUAUCAAUAAAUAAGUGGGAAAUUACUGUUGAUACUUAUGAAAAGAAGAAAAAAUGUUAUUUGCGUGAUUUGUCUCGAUGAAUAUAUCUAUACCUGGCAAUGGGGUGGGUUGGGCGAGUUUUGGAUGGGUUAAUAUUGGGUUUUCACUUAAAUGGGUUAUACUCAAUCCGCCCAACUUUAGAUUGGGUUGAUUUUGGGUUGGGUCAUAUUGGGUUAUCUCAAACUCAUGACCCAAAUAUGACCCAAUAAAUUAAUUAAUACAUUUUAAUACAUAAACUUUUUCACAUACAUUUUAACACACAAAAAAGAUUUUUUUCACACAUAUAAACACAUUUUCACAUACAUAAAUAUAUUUUCACACACUCACUUCUUAAGUUCCUUGGAAACACAUCAUAAAUAGAAUAAUAUUUUAUAUUGCUUGUAUUGUGAAUUUUAGAUAAUAAAUUAUACAUUUAAAUAGAUUAGCUAAAAAAAUUAUUUAUUUUGUACUUUUUUAAUACUACUAAUUGAUUGAAACUUAUUUUUGUCACAGCUUAUUAACACUUUUACUAUUUAUAUCUGUUUUAUUGUAAAUUGUAAUAUUCUAUGUAUAUAAAUUAUUGAAUGCUAUAUUAUAUUAUAUUUGAAAAUGUAAGUAAGAGACAUACAAUUUGUUGUAUAAUAAUUUUGAAAUUAUAGAAAAUAAGUUUGUACUUUAGUCCUUAUAUUCUAAAAAAUUUUAUGAUUCAUGACUCUAGAAAUUUUGCAAACUGUUGUGAAAGGUCCAUGCAUCAGAACUACAUUCUGGGGAUAAUAUGCAAAUUGCUUUCUUCCAUUAAAUGACUGGAGACAUUACUACAUUUUGGUUCUUGGACUCGCUAAUUAAGAAAGAAAAUUAAUUGUCUUGCUGAUUGUAAGCUUCUCAUGAAGUUGAAGAUUGGAGGUAUUUGCUUCAGACGAAAUGAAAUCAUUGGACUAGCCAUGCCCAAGUUGCCAUAAUUAAUCAAAACAAAAUAGAAUGUGCAAGUCAACUAUAUUGAUUCGAAGUUAAUAUCGUGAUCUAUAUACAUAUAACUAGAGUUGUCAAAAUGGGUGAUUUGGACGGGUUUGGGUUGGGUAAUGGGUAUAAGUAAGUCAACCCAUUUAUACCCAUUUAAUUAGAUAGGUAUAAAUGGGUAAGUCAAAAAAUAAAUUGGAUAAUCCAAUUACCGAUUUAUAACCCAUUUAUUUUAACUUUUUGUAAAUUUAUUUAAAUUCAUUUUUGCAAAUUAAGUUAUCAAUUUAUACCAUCAUUUGCACCCAUCAUUAAUUUUAAAUAUUUACUUAUAAUGCUCAAUAAGCCUAAUUAUCAAAUUUUUUUCCAUCCGUACUCUAUGUCGCAAAAUUAUAUACUAUUUCAUAAUUAAACAAUAAGAAUAUAAAAAUUUGAACUGAAUAUUAUAAAAGUUAACAUAAAAAUUUAAUUCAAAAAUUUUAAACCCCUAGCAUUUUUUCGUGUGUAAAUUUAAAAUUUUAUUUUGAAAAAGUAAGAAAAUAAGCUAAAACUUGUCAUAAAUUGGUAAUGUUGAAAAAUCAGCAAGUUAAUAAACUAAAAGAAAAUAAAAUAAUAAAAUAAAACGAACAAAUAAUAAUAAUAAUGAAACAAAAGUAGUUAACAUCAUGACAAAAUGAAAUUUUUUUUAAAAAAAUGGGUGGGGGAAGAGAGGAGACUUGGGGGAAGACAAUUUUAAAUGGGUUAAUUGGGUUUGAUGGGUUACCCAAUAAUAUCCAUUUAAUAAAUGGAUUAAAUGGACAUUAUUGAGUAACUCAUUUAUACCCAUAUGCAAAAAUUUAAGAUACCCAUACUCAUCUAUUUAUGAGCGGGUAUGGAUAAAUUUAGUUAAAUGAAUUUGUUUGACAGCUAUACAUAUAAUAUAUAUUAAAAGGUAUUUUUUUAUUGAUUUGAUACAGUUAGAUAAUUCAUCACCUAAUUAAUUAGAAUCAUCUAGGAUCAUACUUGAUGCUAUGGUCAUUUUAAUCUUUUAGAAUUACCACAGCUCUAAUAUAAAACAGAAAAUAUUAUAUGCUUGUAAAAAGUACUGGUAUUGGUCCCCAAAAAAUUAUUAAGGAAAAUCCCAAACUUUUUAAGAAAUAAAUGAGAGGAGAAUUCAUGAACUAUUCUGACAUUUUUACCACAAAAAAAAAAGAAAAAAAAAGAUGAGGAAAACAACAUACUCUUAAAAGGCAUAAUAAAUUAUUAUAGAAGUUGAGCAAGUUUAACUACUUUUAUAAAAGUAAAAUAAACAUGAGUUUUUAUUUCAAAUUUCUUUUUUAUUUUAACUAAAAAUUAAAAAAAAUGAUUGAAAAUAUAUAUAUAUGAGAAUUUUGAAUACAAAUUAAUUAAUGAAUUAUUAACACAUGUCCAAAUGUAAAUAGUUGGGUAUAUGUGUAUUAAAUCUUGUAUUUAUUAUUUUGAAUUACUUUUAAACAAGUUGGAUAUUGGGUAUCCAAAUAAAAAAUCUAACCUGCCCAAUGAAUAAGUUGGGUUGUUCUUACCCAAUCCAAUAAAACUCAUAACCCAAUUGAUCCAACCCAUCCUUUAAAAUUAAUGGGCGGAUUGGGCGGGUUGUUGGGUUUUGGACUUUUUUGCCAGCUCUAAAUAUAUCUUUAUAAUAAUGAAUCUUACUUAACAAAAACCUUUAUUUCAUUGUUCGUUCACAAAUUGUAAAUUAGGGCCUUGGCGUUUUAAGCUUACGUUCAAGCAUCAGCUAUGAAAGGUUCCGCCGGUGAAAAGAUAUAUAAAUAAAUAAAUAACAAGGGAACGCCGAGGAGAAGAAGUCAGAGGGUACCAAUUUAGAUUUAUAGGAAUAAAGAAACGGAAAAUUAAUACCGACUUUGUCAGGUGCACCUACCACCGCAGAUAGGCAUAGAACGUGAUUUGUGGCUAACCCUUCCUUCCUUGGCUUGAGCCUCCCUCGCCACUACUAUUGCGUUUAUUCGUUUUGAAUGACCAAUUAUGUGACGUCACCCAUUGCCAGCCAUAGGACUUCAUGAUCAGGAGUUUCUUCUGUCCCCACACCUUAGGAUAUAGAAACAAAUUCAAUAGAUAUAGACACUAACAGUUUAAUAUAAUAACUUUUCAAAAAAAAAAAAGCAGUUUAAUAUAAUAAAUUUGUGUUUUUUAUAUGAGUAGAAUAAAAUUUGAUUUUUUUUUUUGGCAAAUCUUGAUAACCAAACACACUCAAUUGAGUCGUUAAUUUUAAAAGUGCGUAAAUUCAAGCACUUUGGGCAACCCAUUAGGAUUGCUAUUUUUUGAAAUACUCAUACAAAAAUGUAUUAUAGUAAUUUGAUAUAUGUAAGAUGAAAAAUGAUUGAUUGAAAAUAUGUUCAUAAAAAACGUAAAAUUUCUUUUAGAAAAAAAAAAGGCAAUUCAAACAUUUUUUUUCUAGGCAAGAUGGGCAGUUAGUCAGUGACAAUCUAGGCAGUUCAAACACUUGAUUUGUGUCCAAGACUACUGUUGAUAAAAAUACGUGGUUAAUCACGUCUACCUUUCUUAUGCUUUAGCCAAAUUGCAAGAAGACCUUUCGAAGUUUGAAAAAUAACAGUCACCCUCCUUUAACUUCAAAUAGGUAUCUUACUAUAUAACUAACACAUAAGUAGGGGUUUGGUAUUAGUAACAAAAAGUGUUAACAUUUACCUUUUCAAAAAAUACAUUUUCAAUAUUUACUAUUAUCUAUCCACAUCUUAUUUGGAAAAUGUUUCACUCCUAUAUAACCAUUACCAUAUAACUAUCACUACACUCCCCUAUUAAUUGAUUAACUAAUCCACUAAUAAACACUGCACCACUUCCCAAAAGUCUUUUUAACUAAUUUUUGAUUCUAUAUAUAUAUAUAUUUUUUUUAUUAUUUGUUUUUUCUAAAACAUGUACACAUAAUGUGUGCCCCACCCAGCAAUAAUAAAUAACCCCUUCUUGUUAGUUUAUUAACGCUUGUUUAUCCUAAUCAAACCAAAACAUACGUAAAAGUAAAAAAUUAUCCCUUCAUGUCUUACAGAGAAAGGAAGGAAAAAAUAAAAUUUGAUAUAGAAAAAGAAAAAGUAUAGCCAAGAAAAACCAAUGCCUUUACUUCUCUAUUCAUCGUCGUUCUUGUUCCAGAAACCACCACUAACUCCGCCAGUGCAUUCCCAAUUUGCUUAAUAUAAGAAAAAACAAACCCCAAAUCUUCUUCUCUUGCCACCAACAACCUCCAUUAAGCCUAGGUCUUGAGCCCCAUGAGCAUCUACACUUCCUACACAGAUCUAAAAUGGGCAUCAACAAAAGAGCCAAUUCCAAUAAAUUGGGGAAAAAAGAUUAUAAAAUGCUCAUUUGAGUGGUUAAAGGUGAUAGAGAUGCAUCAAUUAGUGCUAUGAUUGAUCUCAAAACUUAAAUUGCAGAUGAAAUGACAUAACAAAUAGGUGAGGACUCUAGAGUUCAAGGGUGCAAAAAUGGUUACCAAAGUAGAGGGAAGAGGUGAGCAUGAGUGGAUGAGUUUUUGGGCAUGAAAAACAAAUAUGGAUGGUUUCAUGGUUCAAUAAAAGAAUCAAUACAGUUUCUAGAAACGUUUUUGUUGAUCAUUAGUUCCUUUGCUCAGAAUGCACUCAGACUUGACUUAAAAAAAAUAAAAAAAAAUUCUAGAAUCAUGUUAUCAUCUUUACAACAAUAAUCAAUGUUCAAUGGCUUGAGUUUCAUUAGUAAAAUUUGUUGGAGUCAGGAAUUGGGACUUUGGAUAUUAUUGAAGACGUUAUAGUUUGGACGAGUACCGGGGAAGAGGAUGAAAAUAGACGACGGUGGUGGAUUCGUUUUGGGGAAGAGUCUUUCUGUUUACACAUACUAGUGUGUAUUUCAACACCACCGUUUAGCAAAUGUUAGGUCAAAGGGGGUGGCAGUUAUUUUUCAAACUUCAAGAGAUUUACUUGUAGUUUGGUUAAAGCACGGGGAGGUAGAUAUAAUUAACCAAAAAAUUUUAUAUUCUUGGAAUGUUUGAAAUGUGUCUAAUUGUUCUUCAAAAAGAAAAAUUGUAGUAGAGCCAAAAAUUUUGGCGGAGCCUAAGAAAAGUACGAUAAAAAGGUAAUUCAAAAAUUUGUUCACACAAAAUAAAUGGUAAAAGUAAUUAACUUUGUUGGAAAAGUCAAAUUUAGAUUGCUAUUUUUCCAAAAUACCCUCAUAUUAAAUAUGAUAUAAUUUUAUGGAAACUUGAAUUGAUGGUAAAAAAAGAAUCAACUCUCAUCAAAUAGGGUAGAUUUAUAGUAACAAUUACUUACAUUGAAUAAGGGUAUUUUAGGAAAAUUAAAAUACAACUACAUUUUUCAAUUGAAAGGUGGACUAUAAUUUGGGACAGAUGAAAAAGGAAUAUAGGAUCGGACUAUCAAAAUGGGACGGAGGGAGUAGCAAAUUACGUGGCCGAAAUUGUUUUACAGGCUUUUCAUCGAAUAGAGUAGACGGAAAGAUUGGACACGUGGUUCAUACUGUGCCACAUGAAAUUAAGGCCAUUCUUCCGGGAGUCCAGUGAAGUUAAUCACCUGCUGCACUCCGCUCCAGAGUCCAGAUCGUGACUUUGAGGCAGUGAUACUGAUAUGGUGGGCCUACGUUUUCACGAUUGACAGGCAGUAAUAGACCAUUCCGGACCAGACGCCUCGCCGGUGUAAAUAAAUUCAACCUCAAUGGGUCCUCUUUUCUUUUCAUUCUUCCAUUAAAAAAAAAAAAAAACAGAGGCAGAGAGUCCACGUCUAGCAAUUCAGCUUCAGGACGGAGGAAAAUAUUUAUUUAUUUAACUAGGUGUGAACGACGUUUUAAAUAAUUUUAUUUUUUAAAUACAUUACUUACAUAUAUAAGAAUUUUAAGCAGGAAAAGCAACAAAUUGCCUAGAAUAUUUUUUGUCAAGAAGUCAAUUGCUUUUACUGACUAAACAAACCUAAUCCCCAGAGCAUACUUCAAAAGCCGGCAGCUCUUGGAGCAGCCCCAGGAGACUUAUCUACCCAACAAAUCCCAACCCCCUCCCCGAUGUGGGACUAUAACUCACUCAACCAUCCUGCUACUAAGAGUGUACUAACCCCCAAGUGAAAUUGAGAAAUGAGCUUCGUCUUUUGUCAAGAAGUCAAUUGACUUUUACUGACUAAACAAACCUAAUCCCCAGAGCAUACUCCAAAUUGCCUAGAAUAUGAAAAGUGACAUUUACACUUUUAAAUUAGUCUAUUACAUUCUUGGAGGCAUAUUAUUUAGUGAGUAUAUUGGAAUGCAAGAGGUUAAAAUGAGAGUGCGAAUAUCAGUUCCUUGAACUAUAUGGUAAAUGUUUGCUUGCGAAUCGAACAUUUAAUUCAUGCUUUCUGUCUUUGAUUCAUAACCUUGUUUGUCUCAAGGAUUUGAGAGUUGAACUCCUAACUCCUAGUUUAGUUAGGAAGAUGCUUUAUCUGUAGUUAAUAGGUCACAUAUUCGAUUCAUCACAAGAAUAAAUAGAAAAUCAUUUGUUAAUCCUGCGUAGAAAAAAACAUAAAUGCCUAUGGAGAAAACAUGUACUUUUUUUUUGUGAAUUCUUAAACCGCUCGGCCUACUAUUCUUUCCGGUAGGCAAUUUUGAACUAUAUUGCACUCUCAAAAGAAUCGUAUCCUACACCUUAAGUAGGUUCUACCCUUGAGGACCAAUUCUCAACGCGUAUAUUCUGCAAGGAGUUUUUUUAGGGGCUAUACAUAAUGAAUUUGUUUGAAGAAUAUAUAUUUUUUGGAAUAACCAAAUAUUCACAGGGGAAAUCACAAUAAAAAGAAAUUGUAAACAAGCACAUUUGACAUUUUUAUUUCAACACUAUUUAAUUGUUGAAACUUUUACCAAUAUUUACUUGAAUAUUAAGUGAAAAUCACAAUCCCAAAAAUGAAUUUUUUGAGAACUUUUCAAUAAUAUGUUAGUCUUUUUCUAAUAAAAAAAGGAGUUCAAUUUUGAUCAUUACCAUGAGCUAGCACUCCUUGCACAACAAAUCUACUUUAAAUAUUGGCUCAUCCAGAUAGGGGCAAUGUGUACGUGACACCAUAAGGGCCCAAAUCUCAAUAUCAUCUUGGUCCAAAACUUCAUAUUUGAGAUGCAAGGAAAGAUUGUCAAGACACGCUUUUCAGGAUCAUAGAUUAUUUACAGAGUUCUUAUAUGUUACCUACCAACGCAAUUUGACUUCAUAUUUGAGAUGCAAGGAAAGAUUAUCAAGACAUGCUUUUAGAAUUAUAGAUUAUUUACAUAAUUCUUAUGGGUUACGUACCAACGCAAUUCUCGGCAGUAGAACAUUUACAACCACUAAUGCUAAUAAUUUUUUUCUAGAGGGAUGGGAUUUAAAGUGGGAAGAGGGCAAAGGGAUUUGAAAUCAGGACUUUUUAUUUCUGGUUCUUCAACUCCAGCGAUUAGACGAAGGCGUUGUCAAUUUUAGACAAUAUUUAUACUUUUCAUGGUCCCUAUAAAAUUCUAAUUGACUCCUAAGCCUCAUCCAGGCCUAACAGGUACACAAGCCCAAAUUUCUUUCUCGGGUAAGUGAAACCCCAAAUUUUGUAAUGUGCAAAACUCGGAGCGUCCAUCAAUCCUUUGUCACAACUCACAACUUCCUUCAAAAAAAAAAAAAAUCCUUUGUCACAACUCACCGAUAAAAGCGCAAAUUUUCAAAUAAAAAAUUCAGCCCUUCAUAACAGCGCCUCCUCAACUCGUCUAAUUGUUCCAGAAGCAUUUCUGUUCAGCGCAUUGUUUUUUUGGCAAGGAUCUUGUACCCUGGAAGUAAACCAUCCGAGCGAACGAUGUCGUAUGUGCCUCCUCACCUGAGAAACUCAACCACUGAUACCGCCGCCACCACGGUCACCACUCUAGACACCAAUCACUUCCAUUCUUACUCCAACCUCAGCUCCGAGACGAACAACAGCAGCAAUAACUAUCUCAAUUCAGCUCGCCGGAGCACCGUCAAUUACACCUCUCCGAGGACUGUUUCGGCUCCCGACAUUGUCUUCCCCAAUUGGAAACCUUCCGAACGCGUUCUCCGUCUUACACCCGAGCAGGUACCUUGCACUGGCGUCAGUUUCUUUGGUAGUUCCUCACUUUCUCUAGAUUAGGUUGUUGAAUUCUGCAACUUGAUUAUGCUUUGGCUUAUUAUUUAGCUGUUGUAAUCUUCCUUAGUUCGUGUCCAUUCUUUUUACUACAAUUAGUCCCUUCAUUUCCGUGUAAGAAUUACGGAAGAUUUGUGCAUUUUUGUUGGUGGUAUUCAAGUCAACCUUUGCAUAUCAAACUGAAAAGCAAUCAGGAGAUUAAAUUAUGGCUAUCUCUUGUCGCAUAAUGUUUUCAGGCUAGAGUCAAGGAAGAAAUGUCUGCUUGAGUCAUGCUUCAAAUAAAUAAGCUCAAAUUUUCUGAUAGCUUUAACGUGAGAAUGCAGUUAGAACUGUCUUACACUUUACAUUGCAUUUUCGAGGAUUAUUUCGUCGCAUUUCAACUUUUUCUUAAAACUGACGCAUGACACGGUGCAUAUUGAUCUACAGAUAGAUGAGGUUCGUUUAAGACUUAAUCUUGAUGUUAUAGUAGCCCCAGACUCGCCUCCUGCGCCAGCGCCUAUUGAAUCAUUUACUGACAUGGUAACUUGAUCGACCCAUGAGAAUUGGGUUUAUUGUAAUGGGAUAAAAGUUUUCACUUGGUCUGACUUGGUGUGGAAUCUGUUGGCGUGCAGUGUUUGCAUUCUAGCAUUAUGAAGGAUAUAUCUUUUCAUGGAUACACAACUCCAACACCCAUCCAGGCUCAGGCCAUGCCAGUUGCUCUCAGUGGAAGGGAUCUUUUAGGUUGUGCAGAAACUGGCAGUGGCAAAACUGCUGCAUUCUCGAUACCUAUGAUACAGGUUUUACUCUUUUUUGAUGUUUAUUACUUGGCAAUUUGUUGGAACAGAUAUUAAAAUCUAUUCAGUUUAUGGAAUUUGGCGGGGUAGUUUUUAUUUUACCUUGAGAGCGGCGGUUAUUAUUAUUUUUACCUCCCCUUGAUUGCAGCAUUGCUUGGCUCAGCCUCCAGUCAGACGUGGUGAUGGACCUUUGGCGUUGGUACUGGCUCCUACAAGAGAGCUAGCUCAACAAAUAGAGAAAGAGGUAGGCAAGUCAUUUUCAAGUUCUUCGAUCGGCAAUGAUACUAAGUCAUUAAGAUGUUGUUAUGGUGUCUUUCAACUAUAAAAGGAUUUUAACUACUCAUUUUCUUAAAAUCUAAACAUAACAUCACAUGCUUAGUAAUAUUCCAGGUUAAGGCUUUCGGUAAAUCAUUGGAUUCUUUUAGAACUGCAAUUGUGGUGGGCGGAACAAAUAUUGGUGAUCAGGUAUGGGAUCAUUCUCUUGUUUUUGUAAUUGAUAUAGUAGCUUGUGUGUUAUCAAAAUCCUGUUUUCCUGGCUGUUGAAAUUCUUGAAUGAAUAGGUAUUGAACUGAAUUGGUGCUCCUGGACUUUUUUUAAAUCAAUAAUGUGUGUCCUAACCUCCAUCUUUGUCCUUUUCCUUUGGAAAAAGUUUCAAAAUUGGUUUCAUGAUUGUUUGUAACUUCUGCUACUGGUACUUUGACAGAGAUCUGAGCUACGCCUAGGGGUGGAUGUAGUGGUUGCAACUCCUGGAAGAUUUAUUGAUCAUUUGCAGCAAGGAAAUACUUCCCUCUCCAGGAUCUCAUUUAUUGUUCUGGAUGAAGCUGAUAGAAUGCUGGAUAUGGGAUUUGAACCACAGAUGAGAGAGGUAAGUUCUUUGUCUAUAAUGUUGCAAUUGUUAGCAGAUUCACAAUUUCAGAAUUUGUUGUUUGCUGCAUGGAAGGUUGAGGUCCUUGUCUAUCUAUGUUCAUCCAUGCGCAUGCAAACAAUAUUUCUCAUUUCAUUUUAUAUAUGCAAAAAGAACUCCCACUGUAUUUUCCAUAUUUUUUCCACAAUUUCUGAAUUGGUCAUUACACUGAGAUCUCAGUAUUCUAGUUCCAUAGUUGUAUUCCUGACUACUGUGAUACCAUUAGAAAUAGCUGUUUUCUAACUAACUUUUUUACUACUUGAUAAAAGUUUGCUUUGGUGCUUUUAUCAUCACCAUCGGAGUACCCUAUUCCUUCAAACAGUAGCUGUUUCUGUGGGACAAGCCAUAGCAACACCCGAAGACUUAUUAAUAGGCAACAAAAAUGCAACUAAAACAGACUGAUAAUAAGAAGAAUUUGCUGUAUAAAUAAUUUUAACCUUGCUGUUUCCAUGCUGAGUAUGGGAAGAAAUUUGCAGUAAAAUACUUAGAUGCAAAGGGAAGAAAUAUAACUGAAAGCAAACAUUUGCAUGUCAUUUGCUUUUGUUACAGGUGAUGCAGAAUCUUCCUCAAAAACAUCAAACUUUAUUGUUUAGUGCAACCAUGCCAGUGGAGAUUGAAAUGCUAGCACAGGUAAGAAUCAGGUUAUAUUCUCAAUUUACCCUGUAGUUUGCUGCUUAACACUUGAAUGAUGUGCUGUGUCUACUUAAAUAACCUUUGUAGGUUUGAUGCUUGGGCCUCAAACUGGUUCUGCUCUUUAUGCGACUUGAUGAUUUUGAAAUGAGAUUAGUAUUUCACUGAAGAGUAUCUUAAGACGUUAAUUCGGAUUCAUAGUGCAUGUACAUUGUGUCUGAGCCUUUUUGAGAGUUCUUGCUACUUGUAGAGCCAAAACUGGACUGGCUUUACAGUCCAUGACGAUAUAGUUGCAGAAGCCUUAUUCCUUGGCUUGUCCUUUGUGGAGUCCUGGUUCACGCUUGAUUGUGUCUUUUUUGCUUCAUCUUCUUAGUACUGGUUGAAGUAUGCUCAAAUUGCUAAUUUCUGAGAAGGUUCAUGUACCGAAGUUUAUCUACUACAUCAACUUGUUGCUAUCAGAAACCUGAUAUUUGAGUUGGCUUGUUACAUAUGCUUUCUAUCGUCAACAUAUUCUUUUUGUCACUGUACUAAGUAAUCUAGGUUUGUCAACUAAGUGUUUUUUUUAUUUUUAAAAAAAAUUAUCAAUAAAUUAAUUUUUUUUUUGUUUUCUGUAGGAGUAUUUGACGAAUCCAGUGCAAGUAAAGGUAGGCAAAGUGAGUUGCCCAACUGCAAAUGUAUUGCAGAGUUUGGAAAAGGUGCCUGAAAAUGAGAAGGUAUACUUUCUUUUUUUUUUAAAAAAAAAAAACUAGAUAAACUCUUUGUGAGCUUGAUUUUGGCAUAAGUAAUUCAUAGUUUAACAAAUACAUUAUUGGAUCAUUGCUAUGGUGGAUGCCCUCUUUAUUCUUGAUAGAAUGCUGGCGUUUUAUGAGCUUCCUGUCAAUUAUCAAGAUGCUUAGUUAAGUUGAACUGUAUCAUUUGCACCUGAAGCAGCUAUUAUUUAAAAAGUUUGUCCAUGGGUAUAGCAACAGAAUUUAAGACAAUCUAAUCUUGCACAUGCAGUUGCCAUAGCAUUUGCAAAAGCAUGUUUUCAUUACUCUUAAUGUUUAACCUAUGUCGCGAGAUAUUUAGGGUCCUUUCCUAUAGGUAUGGAUAUCUAUAAUUAAUUCUCAUCCUAUGUGCUCUUAAAAAUGCGUGAGUUUUAUGUGUUUAUAGAUAGAUCGGCUUUUAGGAAUGCUCGUGGAGGAAGCUGCUAGGGCUGAAAGAUUUGGCCAUCCCUUUCCUUUGACAAUUGUCUUUGUGGAACGUAAGGUAGAGCUAUUAAACUUGUUUAAGUUCAUUUUCUCUCUCUUUUAUCCUUCUUUUGUCAUUCCAUUUCUAUAAUGCUAUCACAGUUUUUUCUUACAGAUGUAUGAUAUCAAUUGAUAAAAGCAUCACCUUUGGCAUUGAAAUAAUUGUGAUUCUCCUGGGUGUUAAAACUUGGCCAUCUCAGUGGAUAUAUUGUUGCUUGAGUUGCCAUAAAGCAUAAUGCUCUUUCAAUUGGGAGUUUCCUUGAGAAGAUUUUAUAAUUAAUUUUGAUGUGCAUGGUUUUAGAACUUGCUUAAUGGAUUAUGUGAUAUGAAAGUGUUGCUCUUCCGAUACUCCUAGAAAACAAUUUCAGUGCGGGCUUUUGCUGUAUGAGAGCUUAACUUGUUUAUUCUAAUAAAUUAAGAAGCCUCUCUCUAAAAUCAAUUCGAUGUGGGGUUUCACUGUUUAUGUUUGGAAGUCAUGAUAAUACAUUCUAAAGCUGGCUUGGUAAUUUGAGGUUGUUGGAUCUUGAUGUUUCUCUGAAAAAUAUUCAGUUUUCAGAGUUAAUUACAACUUUAAGCUGAUUUAUAGAGUGUUUUAGUGUAGCUUGUCAAAGGUAAAAGAGAGAGAGAAUUUGAACAGUCAAUUCCCCCUUUCUGUCACAUAUAUUACCUUAAGGUAUUAUUUAUCAUCACAUUGGACAGGAAACAUGAGAGUUAGAAAUCCCCAAACCCAUGAUUGUUAUGACUCAGCAAUUGUUUCUUGUCGUGCUUUACAGUUUUGAGAAAUGUUGAAUAUCAGAUUUAUAUAUUCAUUCUUCUUGUUUUAGAUGUCAAGCUUACCCCAGUUGAAUAAUCAACUCUCGAUCUGAUCUUUUUGGCAGUUGUAUAAGAUGCGUCUCUGCAUUUGUAUACAUUGCUUGCAAGUUUAGUAUAUAUUGAUACCAUUGAAGGGGAAAAGAUGGAAGGGCUGGUUUUUGUGGGGUGGGGGGGUACUUUAUGCUGUUUCCUUUGGUGCCUUAUUGAUGGCUAGGUGUUUGCUGCUAUUGUUAUCUUGCACAUGUGACACCGUGAUAUCAGCUCUCAAACUUUUAAGUGCUUUGAAUAUUCAACUGCAUGCAGACUAGGUGUGAUGAAGUUGCAGAAGCAUUGAUAGCUCAAGGUUUAAAAGCGGUUGUUCUACAUGGUGGUCGCAGUCAAAGCGAAAGAGAAUUGUCCCUUCGUGAUUUUAGGCACAGUGCUACUAAUAUCCUGGUAUGUUAGAGACUAAGGAAUUUGGCAGGCUAUACUUUACACCAAGCUUCAUUGCCAUGAUAUCACAUCAAAUUUGUUCCUUGUAUCUUUUUCUCAUUGUAGUUAUGCAUCAUUGUAGCCAAAUUCUUGUGUUAUAUUGAAGUCUUGUAGUAUUAACCUACACAUAACCCCAACCAAAAGCAAAGAAAGCCAUAUACUGACACAUGGUUGAAUGGGAAUUAUGCUUAUGUAAUAUCCUAAUUAUUCACACAUUUUUGCUAUUGUUGAGUUAGUUGUGAACAUAUUGGAUACUUAUUUGGAUGUGUUAUGAGAGGGAGCAACCUUACAUGGUUUGAUGUCCAUGAAGUUGGGUUAUUAGCCGUGUAUGGUAAGAGACAUUUUUCAUACUUAUGGAUCAUUUUCUUUUUGUUAAUGAAGUACUGGAUAAUUUAUCUUUAGAUGAGUCACCUUCUAGCUCGUCCAAUGUCUUGAUUUGACGUUUGGUAUGUCAUGUGCAGGUUGCUACUGAUGUUGCAUCUCGUGGAUUAGAUGUCAGUGGAGUGGCUCAUGUAGUGAAUCUAGAUCUUCCAAAGGUAAUAUGGUUUCAGCGGAAGCAUUCUCCUCUGUGACAACUGAAAUGCAAUUGCAGGUUCUAGAAGCUAACAUCAGAUGCUAUUUUUCUAGUAAUGUGUCAAGUAUUGUUAUACCAAUUGACACCAUACUUUUAGACUCUGUAUGAAUAAUAAUUACUAAAAAUAAAUAAACUUAUGGUUUGUUUCAGAAUAAAGGGAUAACUAUUACGUUAUAUAACCAGCAGUAUAAUCUCCAUUAAUUUACCUGUGAUAAAGAUGCCUGUAUAAUUGAUCCCUACACUUUUAUCUUGCCUACAUCUAUUGUGAAUGUAGUUCUGGAACUUCUGAUCUGGUUUUCUGAUUUCAGACCAUGGAAGAUUAUGUACACCGGAUAGGAAGGACAGGUCGUGCUGGAUCAUCAGGCAGGGCAACAUCAUUCUAUACUGACCGAGACAUGGUGCACCUUUACUUCUCUAUUUACUCGCUUCUGUCAUGUCAUUUUCUUUAGGGGUUAAGAGAUUUUUUUUGGUAAUGCAAAUACAUGCUUAGCAUAGUUAUAUGCUGCAGUAUCUGGUUGCACAAAUAAAGAAAGCAAUUGUAGAUGUUGAAUCUGGCAAUACAGUCAGUUAUGCUACUGGGAAGGUAUGGCUUUCCUCUUGUUGCUUCUUCAUAGUAAAUAUUAACGAGCACAUCCUAUUAUUUUCCCGCUCUUUUCUGUUCGUUAUGAAUGCCUGUCUCAGUUGUUCUCUUUUUCCUUUGGGACCUGUUGUAUGCUUUUGUGCAUGGUCUUUUAUCUUUUUUAUUUUUCUUUUGGAGUAAUUGUUAAAGAAAAAUGCAUAGAUAGUGGUUCACUGGAUCUGUCUUUUGCUUGCAUUAGCCACUACUAGUUCAUUUCUUUCUAUUCCCACGUUGCCUAUGGUUUAUUGUCAGGUUGCUCGGAGGAUGGAGAAGGAAGCUGCAGCUGCUCAUAAGGAAGCGAGGAUUGCACUCUCCAAGGUCUCCUUACUGGGCACUGCACCUUUGAACGUGGAGGAUAAGUACAAGCACAUGAUCUUCCCUGCAAUGGCAAGAAAAGAGGGUGCAGCAGACGAUGCUUGGGACGAUUAAUAGUUCGAAGUUGCGUUUCAAUAUAUGGGGAACCAAAUAUGUUCACCAAUUAAUUCAUCUUUUAUUACUUCAAAAACACAAGAAAAAUAAAAAAAGACUAAUCAUGCUCUUCAUUUUCUUUCUGUAGUAGCAUACUGGCUCGCGGCCACUAGUCUUGUAUCAGCCAUGUGUAAAUAUUUGUCUGAUUAAUCGUGUACAUGUGAAAAGAAGAGGUGUUUUUUUUUUUUUUUUUGGGUUUUGACCACCCAAUCCAAAUCCCGCCUAUGAAAAGAAGACUUACUGUUCCCUUGAUGACAUCGCCGGUUAUGUGUUAGGAUUGGAGCAUAAAGAUUCUGUUUCACAAGUGCAAAGCAUUCAGAGAAUUUUAGUUUCAACAUCUGAUACAUGAACAGCUUUGUUGAUUCAGCAAAUUGACUAUACGUGGUUACUCGGAUAGAAUGGUUAAACGUGCUCCAAAUUUAAAUCUGCCCUGAUGCGGCAGAUAUGCACUCAUCCCUCCGUCCCUGCCCCCAACACAACAGUCGCGGCAGCAAAAGCUCUCAAGCAGCCAACAAAUCCAAAAGGAGUACAAAAAACUCGUAUCAUACAUACUGGCCAAGUACAAAUGGUAGAGCACUGAGCGGCAGAUAAAUUUUACAGCAGCAAAAUAGCAUAGAGUCAGAAGAACCAGAUGGACCGGGACAUAACCAAGAUAAUAAUCCCAAGUAGCAUCACAUGCAAAACAAAACAGAUCAUUGCAUUUUACGAGGGACAGAGAAAGAGGAGGAAUGACGGUGUCCGUUGCUGUCAAUUAGUUUAGGAUGCCAUCACUGGAAGUCGCUUGUGCCCUAUGACAGCCUGCCGUAGCAUAUGGUAGCCGUUCCUAUAAUGCUCAAGUGAGAAGCAUAGCUGCCUUAUAGCCUCUCUUUUCUCUUCUGCUCCUUCCAAAAUUAAUUCUCGCUGCCUCCCCACCUCUCUCUCCAGUUCUUUAAUUCUUAAUUGCAGCUCUUCCGCCUGUUUACGCGCUACAUCAGCUCGAGCAAUCAACUCAACAUGCUGCACAUGCAAUUGGUGCAAAUGCUUGUUCAUUUCAUCAAAGCGGAUGUCUUUGGAACUAAUUUCUGCAACAUACAUAACAAUUUUUGCAUCAAGUGCAUCCUUCUCUGCCCUCAAUGUUUCAUAGUUCAACUUAAAUGUAUCAAGACUUCUAUUCAGUUCUUCAACGUGACUGCUCUUCUCGAGAAUGCCUACCCUCAAUUCGUCGAUUUCAGCCCCAAGCAUAGCUUCCAUCUCUGCUUUCCCCACCUUGAUCCGUCUGACAUCCUCUUCCAAAGAUUGGCAGCGUAAAUCCAUUUCUUUCAGAUUAUCCUCCAGAUACGUCUUUUCCUUCACCAUUCGAGUAAUUUCAGUUCGAAGCUGAGAGUUCUCCUCUGAUAAGCUCUCGUUAGCAUUGGAAAUUGUUUCCCUUAAUCUCCUGAUUUCUUGAUCACGAUCUGAUACAUUGGAUUUAUACCUCACAAUUCGGUCCUGCAGCUUCAAGACCUCCCUUCUCUCUUUUUCAAGUUUGGUUUUCCAAGUAGAAAUAUCUUUUUGUGCUGAUCCUAGCUGAUCCUGCAAGCCAUGGAUAGCCGAUCCAUUAUUCUGAAGUUCCAAGCUUAAGCGUGCAACUUCCUUCUCGGAAUCAAGAAGCUUCUCUUUCGUAAUUUUUAACUCUUUCUUGAGGUUGUGGAUUUUGUCUUCUGAGUGCACUGUUUCCGAAUCACCAUUGGGUUCAUGAAGGUCUGUCAGCUCUUGUUUGUGCACCUUGGAACCGUCUUCCACAACCACUGCAUCUUCCAGCACAGAGACAUCCUUACCAUGCACACUGUUGGUGAAUUCCAUCGUCUUGUACUUUUGGAGCUCAUCUUUCAACAUGUUAAUCUGUUCCUCAGAUAGUCUAAUCUUCUCCCUUGCUUUCCUCAACUCUUCCUCAUAUCCUGCUAGUCUAGCCAGCAAAAUUUCAGAGUUUUCAUUUUUGGUUCCUCGGUGGGAGCCUUCGGAAAUCUCCUCCUGUAGCAUUAAAAACUUUUCUUUUGCAUCACGGAGCUCUACCUCCAAUUCAAUAAUCCUCUUACGCAAACCUUGGUCAUCAUCACUACCGUGUGUUGCUGUGUAAUUGUUUACAGAAGAAUCAUCUGAUUCUGAAUCAGAAUCCAGGGUUGAUGAUUCAUCUCCUUCUUUGUUGGACAUGUCUGUGCCAUUUCCACCAGCCCCAAGAAAAAACUCAAAUCCAGCAGCACGGGUACCAGAUUUUCGUCGGCUGGGCCGUCGAUCAGGAGAUGGCAAAGUGGAAGGUGGUUCAGAACUUAUAUCUGAGAUGCCGGAGCCCUGCGAUUGGAGAUCCGAGGGAAUGCUUUUCCGAAGCUCUCCAGUAACAUGAUCAUAACGCUCUGCCAAUGACCUGUACAUUCGGUAGAACUCCUCAACGAGAUUAAUAAGUUCUGGCCUCUUCUGGUAAUACAUUUCGGCCUUUUUAGCAAACGAAUCCGCAUCAUGUUCAAUGAGUUUCAGCAUCCGUUUGAUAUUCUGAUCCAUCUCUGACAUCAAUGAUCUUUUUGUCAGUUUUUGGUUCGACAUCUUGAAUGGUUAGCUUACCACCAUCACAUGCAAUCAAAUUGAACUGUGGUUGAAGUUACAGACAUCAUCGUCCCAGAGCCUAUAUGAUAGAAUGACCGCCACCGACUUUUGACCCUUUUUAAGAAAGUGACUGAAUUUUAUUAAUAAAUUAAUACAAUCUUUGGUGCCUUCUGCGUAUCAAUCACUCGUUUUUCCAGUUAGUGGAAUAUUUCAGGUAAGAUAAAAAAGUUUUAACUUCCUCAUUUUAUAUAUUAAAAAAAAAAAACUGAAAACAUUCUAAAACCAGUGGCCACAGCAAAUUUAGAUUCCGACUUUUGUGGGUUUGAAAGUUCUAAAGAGUUUGGAAGGAGUUCUCGAUAACCCCCCGCUCUCAAGGGAGCUUUUCUUGUAUACAGAAAGAAAAAGAAACCAUUUUUUCAAGCAAUAAUCUAAUGACUAUUUUCCUCUUCAGUAUUAAGCAUCUACUUAAUUCUUUGAUGACUAACCAGGAAACAAAAAGUUUUUGUGCUUCUAAUUAGAUUAAAAAACAUUCAAUAUGAGAACCCAUAAAGAAAAUAGUGGAUAAGCAUGAUAAAAAUGAACUGCAAUAACCAUUAGAAAUUUAGAUGACAUUUGAUAUAAACAAAAAGCUGUUUUAUAUUUCCUUUCGCUUUAUUAUUUUUCCCUUUUUUUUAGGGAUAAUUUUUUUUUUGUGUGUGGGGGGACAGUUCCCAAUAAAGAAAGUAAAGCAUAUAGCAGUUGAAAAAAUAUCUGAACAGGAAAGUAAUAAAAGAAAAAAGAAAAGAAAGGUUCAACAACCUAUACUCUAACCUUCGAGAUUUUCUUGAAGCCACCUAGAGUUUUUAGGACUGACGUGGCUAUCCCACCACCAGGAAUGUGAUUUUUUUGACACAGUCUUCUUCAACUUAUUCCGCUUGACCUGAAAUAAAGAACACAAUAACACGUCAUCUUAAGCUCCCACCCAAUUCUGGUUUCAAAGCUAAAUGCUAAAUUUCUCAGACCAUGCAGGCUGCGCCAAGUGCAUACAAAAAAUCCUUUGCAUGAACAGCCGAGAUUGGUGGCCUAUUAACUUUCCUUACUUCCACACCAAAAUGCGCGAAGAAAGGGGUACCAAACGAUCAAACAAUCAUCUGUAUUAUUAACAAGUAGAAGAGGUACAGUGGUUGGGACUCUUAUGAAGAUUAACUACUCACCAAGGUGGCUGCCAUUGUGCUGAUUGAGCAGAACUCGUGUAGAACACCUUGGUCUGAACAAAGGGAUUUACCUGCAAUUUGGCUCAGCAUAAAUAACGGCUACGAGAUACUGCAUAAAAUUCGUCUUCAUCUCUGGUACAUGGAAUGCGAAUUUGCAGUAUUGAUCUCAUCACUGAAGGAUAUAAUUUUUAACCUAGGUAGGAGGUGACUGACAAUCAAUACCAUCCUUUGGAAAUUACAGAGAAAUAGUAAUCAAGUUUAAACUAUCAAGUCCAGCGAAAGCACAAUCCAAAGGGGCUUCAACCAUCUGAGCUUUUAUUGCCAUCAUUCAGUUUCAUUUCCAAACCACAACUCUGUGCUUCAGUGGUAACAAGACAAACAUUUCAAUUUUACUAUUUGCUGAGUUCCAAUUACUAAAUUUUUGCACCAAAACAACUAGGUACAAAAUUAGGAGGAGAAGACGAGAGCCCGAAGAAUCUGAUGCAAGCCGGCCCAAAGCAUCAUUAUGUGACGGAAUGACCAGUGAAACGGACCGAUCCAACAACAACAAGACAAAAGAGGAAAGUGGCUUUGGGCCUAGAAAGCAGCUUCCAACAUUCAUAUUUCGUCCAUGAAACUGAGGUGAGAGUGUGACAGACUAAUUGGAUAUUUUUACUUUUAACAUAAAUCCAAUAGGGCCCACAAUGAUUGGACUAAAUUAUGGGCGACACAUGGCAAGGACCAAGCACGUUCACGGUUCACAUAAGUGCGGCGUGUCACCACGCGCAUGUAGAGCGCGGGAACUUCAGAGUAAUUGAUAAAUAGUCCGCAUAAAUAAAUAAAGGCACAAAAAAAAUUAUAUAUAUGACGAGGUCAUGGCCUCAUGGGGGCUUUGACACAACUGUACAGAACACCAUCUCCAGCUAUAUCCACGCGGUCGUGUUAUUCACACCCAUCAAUGUUUGCUGAUUCAUGAAUCCAACCCCCACCCGCCCUUCUCUCAUUUUUCCCUUCUCUCCUCCAAAAAAAAAAAAAAGAAAAAGAAAAACAGCUUAACACCCCACCCAUCAUAAAACCAAAAAAAAAAAAAAAGGAAAAGACUAAUAAAUGGGAGGAGUUAAGAGUGAAACGAAAAAAUGAUAAGAGUAGCAAUCUCCUCGAGAAAUAUUUAUAGUUUUUUUUUAUAGAUUCUUUUAUUUACUGCUAUUAUUGACAAAUGAGUUUUUUUUUUUCCUUUUUGAUACUAUAACCAUGAACCAACAAACAUAUUUUAAAGGGUUCAGAAAUUUUAAUGACAUUUGACAAAUGUGGUGUCAAAUCUCAAAAUAGUCUCCACCGGUGAUUUGAUUCCAACUCCUAUCAAAGUUCUUACCAGCAAAGGGACCAACUUUCAACAUACUGGAAGAACUGCCAGCAAUUAGGUGAAACGAAAGAUUAGCGUACCUUUUGGACAACGUUUUACGAGGAGCAAGAAAAGGAAAUGAAGCAUUGUCCAGAAUUUUAAGUCCAACUUUACACCCCAAAAUGGUAAAAAAAAAAAUUAAUUUAAGAAAAAGGGAACCCAACUUUUCAGUGGACCAAACGAAUUUUUUUUUAUUAUUAAUUUUAACUUGCAGGGUUAGAAUAAAAAGAUUCAUUUUGUAUGCAUAUUAAACUGAGGAAAUUGCAGUGACACAGAAACAGAGAAGUGGAUUCAUACUUCUUACCUCAGAUCAGGGGACGACUAAUCAACAGAGAUGGAUUUCAAGUUUCAAGCUUGUGGGGCACCUCUGGAAGAAGAAAGAAAUUAAAAAAAAAAAAGAUGAAAUUUAAUAUAAACUUCUCUAAAAACAUACGAAAAGGAGAUACGGAUUGAAAAAGGUAGAGAAUGUUAAGUAAGAAGUUAUGUGCUGAACCAAAACAAAAAACAAAAAAGAAAGUGAAGCCUCGCAUUAUCAGACGGAGGAAGAAAUUGAUUGGAAAGACAUACUACUAUUAUGAGCUAGGGAAGAAGAGGAAAUAAUAAAUAUAGGAGAUAUAUUCGCUUCUCACCCUUUCUCCUUGAAUCUUCCACUUCCAAACAAAGGUAGAUAUAGGGAGUCCAAGAAAGACAAGAAAACUUAAUAAUGAUUUGACGAACGGGAAAAAUUUUAGAAGUCUGAAUCUCCUCCGGCAAGAGAGAGAGAGAGAGAGAGUUGGAGGGGUGCGAGGAAGGAAGAGAGUGAAGUGAGAGAAGUGGAGAGUUUACAAUAUAUAUGGUUGGAAGUAUUUGACGGUAUCAGCUGAAGGAGAAAGGGGACAGCGGGAAAACACUACAGCCUGACUUUUUGUUAAUCCCAUUCCCACCACCAUUUCUUUCUCUAUCCUUUUGGAGUGUUUCUCAACAUGGGCUGGGGGUGAUUGAUGGGCCGGGGAUUCUUCAACAUUUUGGGGGAUUUUGACCAAGUGCGGGUUCAUAGUGUAUGACAAUACUCCAAAUAGUCCAAACGUGAAAAUUGUGUGACUUUUUCCUUUAUCCCCUUUUGCCUUUCGGUUGGGACUUAGAGCUGGGUAUCCAUUGUUUAUCCAGGUAAUGGGAUUCUUUUGUCUCUUGAGUGACGGAAAAAUCUACAGGGGGCAAAAAUUGACUGGAAAAUAGUUGAUUCUUUCUGGAAUUUUAAUCUCUGAUUGGAGUAACACAAUUCCCUAUGGAUAUAGGUAGGUAAAAUAAUGGCCGAUGCGAUGAAUAAGUUGAUACAUGAAUUUUCCCUUUUCUGUUAUAUUAAUUGUAAUAAGAAGAUGCAAUACGUUGGUAUUUACUACUAAUAAUGUUAAAGCUACUCCUCUUAAGAGGUCUUGGGCAUUAUUAGUCUUUCAAGAUCCCGACUGGUACUGAGAAUGAGAAUUCAGACUCGCAUCACAUAAUUGAGGUACAGAAAUGGACUAAAUGAAAACAUAAACAAGGUGCAAUGCAUUAUGCGUCAUUAAUUAGCCAAAUUAUAAAAAGUGAGUGUCAAAGGUAAACCCAUGCCAAAUUCAGACUUAUCUUCUUCUAAAAUUUAUUAAUUACUUUUUUUUUUAAUUAGCAAGAUCAAAUGUUAGGUUUAGUUUAAGGUUUAGUAGCAUUCUUACAGCAACACCUGUAUAGCAUUUUUGCUACAUAAAAGUGACUUCCAAGUUCCAUCCAGCCAGUUUGAUACUAGUUAUUUUGACGCAACGGAUCUUCUGUCUCACACCCUGUGCCACUCUCUGUGCCACUUUUUACUAUAUUGCUAUUUCUCCUUCACAAAUACCAUGUUUUAGUUCUUUUUUGUUUCCUUAAGAUUCAAUAACUAUUAAUUUAGUAAUACACAAAAUUUAAUAAACAAUAUAAAUAUAACUAAAAUUUAGUUCUUUUUUAGUCCUUUAUAAAUAUCCAAUAACUAAAAUUUAGUUCUUUUUUGACUACUCGGCUGUUGCAGAAUUUUCGGUGAAAAGAUCUCUUAGAACAACAAUUUUAGUGUCGACGGUAAUUGGCAUUUCAAUUUGAUAAGGUUGUUGGCCUAAUCACAUCACAUAUAUAUAUAUUAUAUAUAUGUAUAUAGAGAGAGAGAGCCUUGCUAAUCUUUCUUAUCAAAUAUUUCUGAAUUUAAGACAGUCGUGUAUCCAAACACGACUGUUAGUAGUAUUAGAGAAUGAGCUGAUUUGAGUAAAGAAUGGUUAGGUGUUGCUGCAACCUUUUCGUAAAUAUGCGUUUUGGAGCUGGACGGAAUCUUAUGUUAUGGGUCAUUUACACGUGUUGGAUCAUUUUCAGGGGUCGACAAGAUUUCUUAGAAAGACAAUUGCAGAGCUAUAAAGAUAAAAAAGUUUGGGAAAUAGAAACCCUUCAGGAUAAAGGGCUGAGGUUUUUUGUGCCCAACGUUCCAAUCUUAAAGCACCCCAUAAUAGGGCACAUAUUCCGUUGACAGCAAUCCAAUGAAUGACGUUUCAUUUCAUCAACCAUUUUUCUUUAACAGAUGAAAUUCUUUAUGAUAUGUUUGGAAGAACCCUAAACCUGAAAAAAAAAUCCCCUUAAAUUCUUUAUGUUCUUUUUUUUUUUGUUUUUUUGUGCAAUAAGAAGACAACUACUACAUCUACAUGUUUAAUUCAUGGGGAAAAGAAAAGAAAAGAAAAGAAAAAGAUAAGGAGAACGAGUAUCACACGGUUUCAUCAAACAAUGCAGAAGGAUGGGCUUUUCUUUCUUUUUAAUGGUCAAAUCAUCAAAUUGAAAGAAAAGGAUAGAAACCAAAAGUAGAAUAAGAGAUGGCUGUGGAUCCAAAAAAGAAAGAUAGACUUAACACCUUUCGAUUGGUGGAGAUGAAAUCAAUAGAGACAGACGUGACAUGCUCUUAUUUCAUGCCACGCCCAAAUUUCCCUUCCGCCAUAUUAUUAAUUAAAUUAAUUAUCUGCCUCUUGCUGAGGUUACACAUCUCUUCAGAUCUUUGCUGUGUCUUCCAUUAUUAUAGUGUUGUAGCAGUUUCUUUAAUCUAAAUCGACAGCCUCCCUCAUCACCAGAGAUCGCGUAGCAUCUUGAAUCUACCCCAAAAGAGAAUACAGUCUGAUUUGAUUUGAAGGAGAAUCAGUUCAAAUAUUAGCCCAUUGGCUCCGUUUGGAUUAGCUAUUUUUUGGGGUGUUUUUGAAAAAUUUUACUGUAACAGAGUUUUUAGAGUAUAUUUUGAGAUAUUUUUAGAAAAUAUUUUAAAAUAUUUAAGAGUAGUAGAGUUUUUAAAUAUAUUUUGAGAUUUUUUUAAACAUUAAAAAAAAUUGUUACUACUUUUUACAGUACUUUUUAAAAUUCUUAUAUAGUAUUUGAAAAACUAAUUUAUUCAAAAGUUAGGAGUUUUUCCUCAUGCUGCGUCACCAAUAUCUUUCUCAUAAUUUAGAAGGCCCGAUUGGUAUUUUUACAAGACGGCCAGCUGAGCUAAUUACUGAUCACACGCUUUUCCCCCGCUCAAGGGACUCAAUAAUGUCUAACAGUCCAAAUGUCUCUUUCUUUGGUUAAGAACAACCUAUCAUUUGGGGUUCUUCUUUUUCUUUCUUUUUUUUUUUGGGCUUAAUUAAUUUCAAAAGUUUGACUUUUGUAUUAAUCAAACUUCGAGAAAUCAACUCCCAGUGGAGUUCUUCUUUCUUUAAUCCUUUCUUCUGUCGAUUAUUUGGUUAAACAAAUUUUCGAGCGUCUUGAAUUCCGCUACAUCGCUAUCCGACUUUACGUAUGUAUAUAUACAAGUGGAUUGACAAAUAGGAUUUUUUUUUUUUUGAGAAUGACAAAAAAAAAAUCCUAUUCCAGUUUUGUUUUAUAGAGAAACUUGUUUUCGAGUUUUGAAUGCUUUUUGCGCCCUUUUGGGUGCUAGAGCAUCCAUUCAUGGUGGGCAAAGAGAAAACAUUAAUUGAACCUUUUGCAAGAGAAACCAAUAGUCAUUGGACCAGUUGGUAGUCCUUGAUGUCAGGCUUUUGCGUUCCCAGAUCUUUGCAUGGGCGGCGGACAGACCAUUUCGCAAGCCCAAACUGAAGAACGAGACGAGAUUAUAUAAGGGGUUUCUUCAAAAUAAAUAAAUACCCCUAACUAGAUUAUAUAAGGGGCAAAAUUUUCUCAUUGCGCUGUGGUUGUAGUUUUGUUGUGGGGUUGUUGUAGCAAGCAAUUUUUUGCAUCCUUAAAAGAUGGUGUCGCGUACAGAAUAAUAUGAGCUGAUUUGUCAACAUGUCAGAUCUGUUGCUUAGACCUGGCAUCCUUCACUUCUUUUUGGGCAGCCUUUUAAUGUUUUGUUGCAAAAAUGCGGCAAGUAAACUCUUUUUUCUUUUGCUUUUUUAAUAUCAGCUGGCGCCGCGGAAUAUAAAAGCAAUACGAGGAGCCAACCGCUGCUUUUCGAUUUUCAUAUACAGAAGACUCUUUCAUUCUAAUAAUCAAGAAACCGAACAAAGCUUAGAUGUGGAUUAUCCUCAACUGACCGAUGUUCCUCCUUGAUUAUUAAGAAGCAAAAGCCCAACGGCUGUUAAUCGCAUGCAGGGAGUGAUCUGAACUUUCAACUUAAAUGCAGUUUGCAUAGCAUAUUAAAGUCGCACGCUGUAUAUAUAUAUAUUUAACAAUAACAUUUCUUCUCAAAAAGCAAGAUUCAAAUGUUCAUAACAUGAAUUUACUCAAACAAGAUAACUAGACAGACUUCAAAAUUUUUCAGAAAAGCCUUCCAGCCGAACAUUAACAAGCCAACUCAAGUUCCAGCUUUCCGGCGACCAACACGAGCAACAAAUCCUGCUUUAAUUGGAGCAACUGACCUUCCAGAACCACACUGCAAUGAAAAAAACAGACGAGUAAUUUCAGAAAGAUAUUCACAAGGCAAUAGUAAAGAAGAUAAAACUCGAAAAUAGAAUAAACAAAUCCAUCAGGAGCUGUUCCUUAAUUUUCACGAGUAACCAAAAGUUCAUUGGGACUGCAAUUCUGCAACCAAAAGUUG
This 33641-nucleotide long non-coding RNA is filed under the name Coffea arabica (coffee). Its description in RNAcentral is "long non-coding RNA (CARA_LNC000777)". The record is from RNAcentral. Lineage: Eukaryota; Viridiplantae; Streptophyta; Magnoliopsida; Gentianales; Rubiaceae.